UCGAGGAUCUUCGGCAAUGGGCGCAAGCCUGACCGAGCGACGCCGCGUGUGCGAUGAAGGCCUUCGGGUUGUAAAGCACUUUCGGGGGGGAACAAAACAAUGAGUGAUCCCCAAAAGAAGCACGGGCUAAGUUCGUGCCAGCAGCCGCGGUAAGACGAACCGUGCGAACGUUGUUCGGAAUCACUGGGCUUAAAGGGCGCGUAGGUGGUUUGCCAAGUCGGGGUUGAAAUCUUUCGGCUUAACCGGAAAAGUGGCUUCGAUACUGGCAAGCUGGAGGGAGGUAGGGGCGGAUGGAACUUCCGGUGGAGCGGUGAAAUGUGUUGAUAUCGGAAGGAACGCCGGUGGCGAAAGCGAUCCGCUGGACCUCUUCUGACACUGAGGCGCGAAAGCCAGGGGAGCAAACGG
RNAcentral lists this ribosomal RNA (405 nucleotides) under uncultured bacterium. RNAcentral's name for it is "bacterial SSU rRNA". It matches the Rfam family "Bacterial small subunit ribosomal RNA", at positions 355 to 775 of the family's 1533-position model. The record is from RNAcentral.